GUAGAUGGUCCCUAGGAGCAUACAGUUUUGAGAACUUGACUGAGAUGACUCAGAAAACACAGCAAGGCGGUGAAAAUAGCUCUUGCUUGAUAAGGCAUUUGUUUACUGUGCUUACCUCAAGUCAUACCUGCCCUCUUAGAAAGGUGUCACUGUUUAGAGUUAGUCUAAUCUAGAGAGUGACCAUGUGAGCACUUAGAGGUGGGAAUGUUUAUUUGGAAAUAAUAGGCAGAUUCUGGAAUGUUGUAGUAAUGCUUGUGCCUUUGAGUUGCAGUGUGGCCAAAUGUACAGGACAAAACACAAUUCGAAAAUGAACUCCAGCAUUAUUCUGGGAAAGACAAGGGGAAUCUAUGGAAGCUGGUCAUUCUUCCUAGCUCAGACCUGGAGUAGGAUGAUUGGGCUUCCCAAGGGUGGCAGCACCAGCAAGGCUGGCAGCAACUAUCUCCUGUGGAAAGUCAAGUCCGUGCUUGCUGGGUGCUCCAAGGGAGUUAACUGGAGUCAACAGUGGCCUCCCUGAACUCUGUGGAAAAGACAAGUUGCAUACGCUUCUUCUAUUACAGUGUUCAGUGUUUGGAAAUGAGCAGUCUUGCAUUGUUAUGCAAACGCCAAGGUACAGCUGAAGGACUGUGGCCAGUAGAUUCACAGUUGUGUGAUCCUUGGACUUUUAGAUCUACCAGGUAUGGUACUUCACAGACUUCAUUUCUAGGGAAGUGAUAAACUUUCACAGAAGUUUUGUUUUGAAAUUGAGGGGACUAUAGAAAUUACCUACUCUUAUUUAUGGCUUACAAUUGAGAAAAAUGAGACAAAAGGAGAUUGAGUAUUUGUCUAGAAUCAAGUAUCUGUUUAGUUAAAAGACCCUGUAUGAGAAUCUAGCCUGGCCUAGCAGUAUUUUUUUCUGCUAACUGCAUGCCUUGCAUUGUUAUUGAGUAACAAUAUAUUAUUAUUAUAUAAACAUGGAGGUAAUAAAGUAAAUUAGAUAAUAAGUCGCUCACUCUAAGAUCAAAGCACCACACUUUCACUAUUCACUUAUGCGAUUUGAACAGACUGUGACUGCCAGUUUACUUGACUCUCAGUGGGAUGAGCUGGCAGACUUCAGAGAUGGUGGCUUUUUGAGGAUAAGAUGCAAUUUAUAUGACAGAAUUGCUCAGAGAUAAUGGGUCCCAAUGAGCUGAAAAGAGAAUUUCUUGCCACUCAAGGCUGCUUUGAAUUUGAGUGCAAGUUGUGUCCAUUUUAGUAGUUAGUAUAAAAAGAUGUUGAAAAUCCAAAAUAACUGGUACCAUGUUUCCAAUUUAUAUCAAUGGUAUGUUGGUGCCAAGAGUGCCCACCAAUUAUUCCAGUUUGGCAUUUUGACACUCUUUCCCAUACUAUUCCACAAAUUUGCAACUUGUCGAGCUUUAUUUAUGGCCUCUGGAGAGGUAUAUUACUUCUAGUACUGACAGAGCUAAUCAAUGCCUGAAUGAAUUUGUCUUUAUAAGCAAAGUGAUGCCUGGAGGAUCACUUUUUUGAGGUCACCAUCCUUUUGAAGUGAUCAGGUGGUAUACUGGUUAUCUGCAUCUUUUAAAGUAGUGUUUCUCAACUGUGCUGGUACCUUAGAGUCAACAGAGAACCUCGCAUGAAGUACCAAUGCCUGGGUCUCACCCCUGGUGACUCUAACUAUCCUAGCAUGAGACCCGGGCAUUGGUAGUUUUUUGAAAGCUCCCCAGGUAAUUUAGCAAACUUCUCCUUUUUAAAAGCUCCCCAGGUAAUGCAGCAAGGGUUGAGAGGCAUGGAUGGAAAGUGAUAACCCCUUCACAGCAUUGUGUAAUGAGAGGAGAUGCUUUUAUCAGAAAGUACUCAUGCUUUAGCAGACUUAGAAGCCAUCAUGAAAAAAAGAGUUGUGGCUGACAGUUUUAUUACAGAUGGCUUUAAUAUGAUGGCUAUAUGUGUUAACACUCAGAUGUUCUGUUUUCACCUCAAGGGACUAACUAGAACUUGUUAGUUUAUGUUUAACCUGACAACAGUAAAAAUAUGAAAACCAGAUAGACUUUAGCAACGUUUAUGUUGCCAAAAGAGAUGAAGUUUUAGUUAUUUCUCUUCCAUUACUAUGAGAUUUGACCAAUGUUAAGAGUGACUUCUGCUCAUGUUAAUCAGCAAAGUUUCAGCAUUCAAUCAUUCAUUGAUUCAAUGAAUGAUUUAUCGCUUUAUGUAUCAGGAACCAACCAGUCUUACAAACCAACACACCAGUAUCUUCAUAACCAAAAUUUACUGUGGAAAUAGACAAAUCAUUUAGUAGAGUUACUGUUGGUACCGCAACAUCUUUGAGACAAAUGCUUUAAAGUGUCAUGGGAUAGGCAAUUGUAUGGCUGUUCCAGCAAAGGAAGUCUACCAGUUUUUACUUAUGUAAGACAAUAGCCAUUAGAAAACUUACGAUAAUGACUCAGAGUUUCUAAAAUAAUUAGUAAAAUUCUGUGCAGUGGUUUUAAAUCUUUCUACUUAAGACACAGACUUCCAAAUCAGAAUAUUUUUGGUAGUAAGCAUAAAGGGAAUAAAAGAUAAACAAUGACUAAAGAAAUAAGCACUGUUAUUUAUAAUAGAGAAAAUUAAGUAAAAACACCCAACAAAAGGGGUUAGUUAAAAAGUCUGGCAUAUCCAUAUGAUGGAAUGUUAUAAUACAGAUUAAAUUUUUUUAAGAGAAAAUGGGGAAAUGCUCAUAUUAGGUAAAGAAAAUGCUCUAUAGAUUAAUAGCAAUAGUAUGGUGCUCUCUAAAAUUCAUACAUACUCACGUUGACUCCGAUUUUCUCCAUUCCCUGCACACUUUGGGGUGGUAGCUAAGUCAGGGAGAGCAACGGAUUGCCUCAGUUGUCCUGGAUACUUACUCAGGCACAGGGUGUCUGAGGAUGUGCUUUCCCAGGCCUGGGUUUCCAGUUUCUGGUAAUUCUUUCCAAGCACGAUGCUGGAAUAUCCCGGACAAGACAAUGUGGGAAUGUAACUAAAAGAUUUACUACCUAGCAACGACUCGGCCCAAAGUCAACUGCAGAAGUGAUAUGUCAGCAGUCCCUCACAGCUCCUUUACCUAAUGUAAGUCAUCAUUUCCACUCACUGCAUCAUGCUUUGUAGCACAACACCUGUCUCAAAUCCCUCCAAACCCUUCCCUCAAGGGAAGCUCACCAGACCAAACAUACUUCCAUUUCUUAUGAGUGUUUUUCUCAUUUCUUUUUGUUUUUUCUCAAUAUAAUUAUGUAACAUACAGCAGUGGUUCUCAAAAUGUGUUUUCUUGGGCCUGUAGCAUCAACAUCACCUGGAAAUUUAAACUUCAAAACAUUUUUACUAGUUAACUAUGAUGACUUUCUUUCCUUUAUAAUGAUAUUUCUCACUCUACAAUUUAUAGAACUAUGAUAGCUAAAAUGUACGUAGCUCUUACUUUGUGUUGGACACUCUUCCAAGUGCUUUCUAAAUAUUAACUCAUUUAAUCCUCAUAAUCACCUUGUGAAAUAGGUGCUAUUAUUUCUCCAUUUUAUAGAGAAGGAAACUGAACACAGAGAAGAUAAGUAACUUGUCAAAGUCUUUCACCAUAAAGAAUGCUCAUAGGAGCAAUACUGGAGCAAAUAUAAAAUGUCAAAGUGGUUAUUUCUGGGUGUGGGACUACAGAUAGCUUCAACUUUCUUCUACGUGCUUGUCUGUAUUUUCUAAAACAAAUAUGUAUUAUGCUUGUUAUCAGAAAACAAACACCACCAAAAAAUUAUUGAAAAGAACUAAGACAGCAGUUUCAGAGAAGACCUGGAGUAAGGGUGAGCUAGAACAGGAGAAAGAGGAGUUGUAAUUUAUUAGAAACCUUCUCCCUCAGGUUAGGUCUUCUGGGAUCCUGGCAGCCACUGAGCAAGUGAGGAAAUAAAGUGCUCCACGUGUGGGUGGGUGAGCAUCAGAACUGGAAAUCCAGGGAGGGCAUGACAUUGAGAAAUCUGAUUUUUCUAAUGUCUUAACAGGUUUUGAAACUUAUUAUCUUUGCAGGCAGGCAGUGGUAAAGUGCAUUUUAUCACAGUGUGUCCAGGAGACAUUUGAUGGAGCAGAACCCAGCUCUCUGCAUCUGAGGUAUAAGGAAAGUUUGGCCAUAAAAUAAUGCCCUGACUCAUCUUUAAUUAAGUGUGCAGUGUGGGAAAGGAAUUAGUGUCUUCCAGUGUAUGGGCAGUAUAGAGAGACAGCUAUAAGUUUUCAAAAUAGCCCAUUAUUAGCAAUCCGCACUGAAUCGAUUGGUACCCACAGCUCAGUCAGCCCUUAAACAAGCUGGACAAUAGCUGAAGUAAUUAUCUGGGGUGAAUUAUUGCCAUUGUAAAAUGUAAUCAAUGUUUUAUUACAGCAAAAAGAGAUGUUUUUUCUUAAUUUCUCUCUUCACUCCACCUCUCCUCAGCCGGAUCUCCUUGCCAGAGCUCUGCAAGAAUGAUUUUUUGUUUCCGCCCCCACGUUGGCAAGAGAGUCUCAGGCAUCUGAAUGCAGCAGGAUAGGACACAUCUUGUAAAGGUUUUCCAUUUUAAUAUCCCUUAAUGACCAAUAAUGAAUUCUUUAUAGUUAAUCUGCUGUUCUCAGGAAAACAAUCUAGAUGGUUAAAAAAAUCAAUCAUUAAUGAGCAGUAAAUGACAGCUCCCCAACAACACAGCUGUAUUUUUGUAAAAGUGAUUAAACAUUGUCUGCAUUCAUAAUUGCAUGGUUAAUAAGAAUGUUGAGCACCAAGUCAAGCAUUGUUGCUAAUGAUGACAGAUUAUGAUGCUACAAAUGCUUUGGAGUUAUGGGGCUAAAUUUUCAAAGGCAGUUCCUGGAACAGCAUGCACACAGACCCACUAAGUAUUCAAUUUGCAUGGACCAUUACCAGGUUUGUGCAUGGCAUUUGGGAGCUUUGCAGUUGAGAGUCUUUUGAAAAUCUGGCCCAUUAUGACAGAAAGCAUCUGUAAUUAACAGCAACUGAUCUCCCUCUGCCCAGCAUUGGUGAAAGGUGUAAAAUGCUCUGUGUGUGGUUUGAUGGAGCCCAAAGCCCCUUUGAUAGGCUGAAAGGAAGGCAAAAAGAGUCUUUAGGGAUGUAAUUCACCCUUGGAUGUAGUCGUGAAUAUCAGAGUUUUGCAAGCAGGUGAGAAAGUGGGCAAGUUAUUCAAAAGGGGACUUGAUAAUACUGUCAUUGAUUAUUUGCCUCUCCCAUUUUGGCCUUAAAUAUACUUACUAAAUCUCGGGAAUUCCUGGAUUAUCAUUCGUAGGUCUAACUAUUUAAAAUUUGAGAUUGUCCCAUGGUGCUGAGGGAUGAAUUGCAAUCUUUAUGAAGCUGUGGGCAGCGUGAGUCACUCAGUGAUUGAGCAAGCCACAUCUGCUGCUCAGUCUGUCUGUACUCUGAUCAGGUAUGAAGCAGUUCCAUGUAUGAAGCCAUACAUAGUCACAAUUUGUUAGGAAAAUUGCAUGCUAAAAGGGAAUUUAUGAAUUUGGGGAUUCUUGAAAACAUCUUGUAUCUCUCUGGGAUGUUGAAGGUCUGAUGGGCAGUUGGGUAACAUUGUGUCUUGUACUGUUAUUUACAUAUUCCAGUUUGUAUGGAUAUCUUAUCUCGACAGUACUUCGGCCUAGAGAACAGGAACAAUAUAUAUUAUUACUUUGACUCUUGUUUGUUACAGCACCUCACUCAGUGCUGCUUUUUCUGGAUCAGCCAGCCAUUGACUGAGCAGAGAGUUACAGAAUCUCACAGUCUGCAAGACCAACUGGCAUGGGAUUAAGAGUAUGGUUUUAAGAUGCCUGCGUUUGAAAUGCUACUGCCAUUCACUAGUGACUUUCUACACCUCUUAGGGCCUCACUUUUCUUCACUGGUAAAGUAGGAGUGAUAUUAGUGGGAACUUGUUAGGGUUAUUAUGAGGAUUCAGUGAGAUAAGUAUUUGAAACUUUCAGCAGAGUGACUAGGACUUAGUGUAUGCUCCUUAAAAGUUAAUUGUUCAUGUCUUUAUCAUUGUUGAGGCCUCAGGGCUAGGUCUUGAGUGAGUAAGUACCAGAGCUGAGUCUGGGAUCUCUUUAGCUGGGCUAGGUCAUUCCUUAUAGAUCUAAGAGGCAAUGAGGUGCCAACUGUUCUUGCCCCAGCCAUUUGGUCUCCUCAUGGAAGUCCCAGACAUCAUGGAGUAGACAAGAGCUGCCCCACUGUGUCCUUUCCAAAUUCCUGACCCACAGAAGCCAUGAGCAUAAUAAAAUGGUUGUCAUUUUAUGCCACUGAAUUUAGAGUAGUUUGUUAUGCAGCAAAGAUAAUUGGAACAAAGAAUCACAAUUUGACCACCAUAGUUUGGAGAUUAUUUAGGCCUAAAGAGGUUAGAUAAUCAUUUUAUUCAAACAAGGACUUAAUGGUAGAAUCAUUCUUAAGCACUGGGUUUCAGGCUUGAAGCUGCAUGCACUAUUCAUUACAUCAUGUACCUUCUUAUCUCUUGAUGUCAGCUCUACAUGUUUGUAUAGUUAAAACUUGACUUCAGGCCUCUGUUCUCAAGUCAUACACAUUCUAAGAAGUACUCUGUUCAUAUAGUAAGCCAUGAGGAAAUGAAUUACUUAUAAGCCUAGCAGAUAGGAGUCUAUUCCAGACUUUAGCUAGUGAGAGAUAUUGGGAGCUCUUAGAGAAGAGACAGAGACAAAGAAAUGGAAAUGGAGAGGAGGUGAGACCGUCUGCUGAGGUUGGAGCUUUGCAGAGGAGGAAGUGGAAGCAGCACAGCAGGAGAAAAUGAUGAGGCACUGGUGGAAAAGAAGGGUGGAAAUUGCUUCAGCUCUAUUGAGGCAAACAACUGUGUGCUGACAAGAAGAAGGUUGACGAGCGGCUUUAGCCAGUCUCUUACUGUCUGCAGCUAAAGGGGAAGAGAGAGGGUGGCUGCAUAUGGAGCAAGGCGCACAGGGAGUCAGCAUGAGAGGAGGGAGAAAGCUGCAGAGGGAGGGGAGCAACUCAGGAAGUCUAUGGAAGCAGCAGGGUGAGCUCUACUGAGCAGAGAGAUGGGGAGCCCAGCAAAGAAGCAGGGGAGCACUUGGCCCUAACUGCCCAAAAAAAAUAGGGUAAAUUGGAGACAGUGGGAGAUGAUGAGGAGAAUAAAAUAAAAGAACAAACAAAAAGUUCAAAGAGAACAUUUGGGAUGAAAGUUAAAGCAGUAUAGAGUAUCUGGAAGAGAUGGAAAAAAAUGGGGAUUAAAACAUAUUUUGGGUGAAAAUAGUGAGUUGAUUCAAUUUUUGAUAAAAGAAAAUAGUUUGGAUGAGAGUUUGAGUGGCAUGAUAUAUUUUGAAUGACCCACUUACAAAGGCCAUAGUGUUUUUCUACAAUAUUCCUGAAAGUGAAGUUUAAUAUGUCAUUUUAUUAUAGGAGAAAUUACACGUAUAUAAAUUUUAAAAAUGGAUCGGCUUGGAAUUGUAUUUUCUUGGAUUACUAGUGGAAAGAAAUAGCAUUAAAGAAUAAAAGCCUAUAAUUGUAAUAGAGCAACAAAAAUUCAAUAAGAGAGUGCUCAUUGUCUAACCAAUGCCUGUAUUUGAGACCAAAGAACACCAGAAACACAAGGGGUAAUUUAUCUAGCUCAUAUGGAAGAUCUUUCCCAUAUCUGGCCUUUAUAUUUUGACUUGUUAGUGUAUUAAAUCUGAAAUAUGAAUGCAGAAGAUGAUGAUGCUUCCUGUGUGCCAGGCACUGUCCUAAGCGUUUUACACAUAUUGACUAAUUUAACCCCUCAACAAUCACUUGGGGUUAGUUAGAUGUCUUUGAUUAUGUCCUUUUUGUGGAUAAAGAUACUGAGGCACAGUUCUCUUUUUUUUUUCUUCCUCAUAGCCACCUCUAUUUCUAAGUCAUUGGGAAAGAUUAGAAAGAAAACAUUAAGUGUGAUAAGUAGUAAAAAGCAGUUGUCUGUAAGGUCCUGGUCAUCCUCGGAACCUUGUCAGCCCCACUCACUGAGGCUCUGCUCAGGAGUAAAUCGCAUGUCUUCAUGUCCCACCCUCCUAAUGUAUUUGUUUAUUAAAGGAAUGAUUGGUAUCAUUAAUGGAAUGUUUUUUAUCUCUGCUUGUGGGAGAGCAGAAUGUUAUAAGGCCACCUAAGGAUGGGGUUUUAUUCUUAGUGGCUGUCUGAUAUAAAGGAAAGAAUAGGAACUCUGGAGUUAGACAGGCCUCUGACUUUGUAUCUUGGCUCUACUUCUUAUCAUUCGUUUGAUUUUGGAUAAUUUAUUUAUCAUUGUUUUAUUCACUUGUAAAAUCGGGAUAAUACCAUCCACUUUGCAGGGUCAUUGUGAAGAUUAAAUGAAAUGAGAGCUGUUCAGUGCCUGGGAAAGUGCUUGAGAAUUAGUAGAGGUUCAAAAUGUGUUACUUCUGGUUUUUUAUAGACCUGAUAAUUGGUGAUUGCAGAUAUUUGAUAUUAAUUAAAUCAAAUGCUGAUAAAGCCUGUGUAGGUGAGGCUGAAAACUUCAUAUUUUCAUAAGCGCUCGGAUUAUAUGUCUUCAUUAUGAAAUCAUCACUGGAUGAAAAGGUAGAAAAUAAUUAUGAGAUUUAGGGAAUGAUAAAAAAAAAAACCCUAAAAGAGAAAGCUAUAAAUUUCAAGAGAAAACUUUUAAUUUCAAAACCCUUCUGUGGUAGACAUAAUAUUGACUCCCAAAAUGUGUUUACAUCAUAAUCCCAAAUAUCUGUGGAUAUGUUAUCUUAUGUGGCAAAAGGAACUCUGCAGAUGGGAUUAGGUUAAAGUCGUUGAGAUGGGGAGAUUGAUUACCCUAGAUUAUCUGAGUGGGCCCAGUCUAAUCACAUGGGUCCUUAAAAAUCAGAGAAUCUUUCAGACUGUGGUCAGAGAAAGAGACCACAUGGAGGUGGAGGAUGGUCAGAGAAAUGGAACAUUACUGGCUUUGAAGAUGGAGGAGGAAGCAAUGAGCCAAGGAAUGAGGGCAGCCUCUAGAAGGCAGAAAAGGCAAGGAAAGUUAUUCUUCCCUAGAAUCUCAAGAAAGGAACACAACCCUUCCGACACCUGGAUUUUAGUCCAGUGAGAGCCAUGUUGGACUUCUGAUCUUCAGAAUUGUAAGGUAAUAAAUUUGUGUAUAUAUUAGUGCUACAGCUGUCUUUGUUGUCAAGAUGCCUGUUGGGAAUAGUCUUAACUUUGGAAAUUUCUUAGCCCUUGUGCCUCCCUCCUAAUAGAGUCCUUUUGUAGAUAUGCUAUGGCAAGCCCCCUUUGGAGUGUCUUUUAUUUUUCUGUAGCCUGCCCCCUUUUGACUCGCAGAUAAACCACCACAGUCAUGUUUGCACUACAGGAUUGUCCACUUGGUAACAGUUGAUUUGAACAGAAGACAUUACUUGGCUCAAUCUGGACCAAUCUGAAUGUCUUUCCCAGGAGUUUGGGUUGGGUUGAGGGAGGUGUUAGUCUCAGCCUCUGCAUGUGGCUUGAACUGAGGUGGUGUAAACUUGUGGGGUGGCCAUGGAUAUGGAGAAGGUAAAAAUUGGGUCUGUAGGGAGAGGAGCCUGAGGCUCAUGGACAUAGCAGAGCAGAGAUGAGGGUCUGAGAGAAAGACCAAGAAGGUGGUAGCCUUGUUCCUGCUGGCUCUCAGUCAACAUUUGUACCUCUGCUGGGGCCCAGGCAUGUCCUGCUCUGGAUCCACAAGAUAACAUUGUACCAUUAUAAAAAAUGUCCUUUUUUUCCUUAACCUUGCUAAGAGGUUUUCUGUUGCUUGCAAACAGAAGGGGCUUCACUAAAACACCCACUGUGAGGGAGAUGAAUCAAGAAGAUGGGAAGGAGAUUCCAUUAAUGUCAUUUUGAGUCCUCAUUCAUGCUUUAUUCCAAGGAAGUUUAUAGAAAGAUUCAGAGCAACAUGAUUAUUCUGUCAGCCAGGGAGCAUUUUGUGCUUCUACAGCUAUAGCUGGAGCUCGUGGCAGGGCCCACCUUAUGGGGGUUGAGGCUCAUGGCUACAGACUGCUUCUAUAGGCUCUGGCCAAAGGCAUCUGAUUCUCACAUUCAAAAUUAAUGUUGGCCGAGGGGUAUUUUUAAAUCAGGAUUUUAAAAUUUCAGCUGACCUUGCUGCAGCAAGCUUCAUCAUGCAAACAUGGCACUUUAAAGACCCCACCUUAGUGUUUUUCUGUAGUUAUUUAAUUUUAAGAAUAUGCCUGGUAGAGAUUAUGGUUUCUUGGAGGAGAACUUGCAGUCAGAAAUGAUGAUUUCCUAAUUAUCAACUCAUAGAAUUUAAAAAGCAACUGUAAAAAUCAUGUUAUUCAACUCUUUAGUUAUACCGACAAGGAAAUAUGCUCAGAAGGGUUAAAUGGCUUACUUUUGGUCUUGAUUGGGUCUUAUGUAUAUCUAUAUGCAGAAUUACCAAAUUCAUGAUUAUUUAGAGAAUGAAUUAAGUAUCAGAGAACACAGAAGUUUUUGGACUAAAAUAUUUCUAUGAAUACUAACUGAUUUUUAUAAUGCAUAGAAGAUAUUACCUUUCUUUUUAUGAAUUGGAAUUAUUUCUAUAAACCCGAGUAUGCCCAAAGAAAUACAAUUUCUUUGAUGGACUGGAUGUUAUUAACAAGAGGUCAAAGAACCAUAAAGGUAAGUAUCCAUGCAUUCAUUCAUCUCCCUCCCCCUCUCCCUCCCAUCCUCUCUUCUUCCCUUCUUUUCCUUCCUUCUUUUCAAUUAUUUAUUGAGUACUUACCAUAUAUCUAACAAUUUCUAAAACCUGGAGAUACAAUAGAAUCAUAUGCCUUCAUGUGGUCUUCCUCUAAUGGAGACUGCCUUUGUGGUGCUUACAUUUAAGUUGGGAAGAACGGAAAGUCAACAUGUAAAAAAAUUUAUGAGAUAGUUUUGGACAAUGAUAAAGUGCUAUGAAGAAAAUAAAAAGUGGUGACAUCAUAGAGAAUAAUAGGCUCUGGAGUAAUAUAGGGUAUAAUUUCUCAGGAUGAGGAGGUAACUUUUAGCUGAUCUAUUUAUUCUAUUCAUCUAUUGUCUAUCUAUCUACCCUAUCUAUCUUCUUUGAUUACAUAAGACAACAUGAUGACUCCUAUUUAUUCUCAGAAAACAGAGAUUAAAUCUCUUUCUCUGGUCACAGAGUUCAUGAUUGUAAAUCCAGUUUUCUUUCCAUUGCGUCAGCUGCCACCUCAAAAGGGAAUUGGAUUGGGAGACUGUUCUCAAAGAAUUCGUAUUCAAGUUGGACAGAGAAAACACAAAGUAUUUUAUGGGAUAGUAUCUCAAAGUACAAGUUGGUUUCUUCUUUUUCUCCACAAUACUCACAAAAUCCCUUUACUUGUAUCCCAAGGACUUCUUCCUUGGCCUCACUCGGUCCCCCAGAGCCCCCACACAUGGACAUGAGACAAAUCAGAAACAAACCCUGCAAAGCUCAACCACUCUUUGGGAAGUGGCUGGUCAGUGUAAGGGAAAGAUUCAUCAGAUGCUCACUUUUAGUGCUCAUUUUCCCCCAUCUGAGAGUCUAUACUGUCAAACCUCAACUGUUACUGAAGCAAACACCGUGUGUCAUCAGUUUCAGCCAGCUGUGAGGAAACUGAGUCACCACUGACUUAUUGCUUUCGUUGCUGGAUGUUGAAUAUCACUAAUCCCAAGGAGUCUUUUCUUGUCCGGUGGGCAGUCAUGCUUGUCUAUAUGAGACGAUUUGUCUGGAUCUGACCUAUUCUGUCUGCUAGCCCAGGAGGAUGCAAACUCUGCUGACAAGGAAGGGAAGGGAAGACUCAGGACCUUGAGAGAUGAUGGUACAUGAAGGGGAAGCUUCAGUUCUGAACAAGAUAAGGCUAGAUAUCCUCAGAAAUCACUAGUUGUAUUGUUUAUUGUCAUAUUGGUUACCUAUUGCAACAAUAAUGCCUCAUAACAAACCACCUCACAUAUCAGUGGCUUAACACAAUAAGCAUUUAUUUAGUCUGUGGGUUGGUGACAUAGGCUGGACUUGGCUGAGUUGCUCUGGUCUCAGCUAGGCUCAUUCCUAUGUCUGGCAUUGGGCUUUUGGGUCAUCUAAGAUUGUUCCUGCUGGGAUGACUGGGCCCACUCAGCUCUUCACAUGUCUCUCAUUUAGUAGGCCAGCCAUGCAUGUUCUCAUGGCAGUUGUAGAAGACCAAGAGCAAUCAAGGUCAACUGUGCAGCCAUCUUAUUGGCCAAUCAGGUCUCAUGACUAAGCCCAGAGUCAGCAUGGAAGAGAACUGCAGAUUUACUUUACAAAGAACAUGGAUUCAAGGAGAGGCGAAGACUGAAUUGAGGCUAUUAAUACAAUGAGUAACACCAUGGGUUAUACAGGGUUGGAAUGUUAAGGGUUAAUUAUCUACCAAACAGUCUGGGCAUAGUUUGAAGGGUAGAUUGGAGUAGGGAGAAACUAGAGGCAGGGAGCAUGGACAGGAACUUUUCUGGGAGAACAAUAGCAAUGCCAGAAUCUAGGGUGACUGGGAAAAUGGGAGUGGAGCGGUGGAAGAUAUUGCCUAACUUGGUUAUGCGAUGAAUGGAGAAGGGCAGGGGCAGUGCAAAGGAGAUGGAGGAGGCAAGUUGACUCAGAAGUCAGUGAUCUGGAGGGUGAUAAUAACCCAACAGGCAGGUAACCCUCUCAUGAGAAGUAGGCGAAGGCCUGAAGAUAACUUGUGAAAGAAGAGAGAAGCUUGGUGACAUGAGUAGGUCAGGUAUGUGGGAGACAGAGCAGCAGGAAAGCAAUGUGAUGGGAGGGUUGUCUGAUGACAGCUGUAAGGCAGGUGGGAGGAUAAUGACUGUGAGUGCUGGAGGUGUGGUAAGGCCAGGAGCUUGAAGCUCAUGGACCAUAAUUUGGAUUCACCAUGUUGGAGAAUUGAGAGUUUUCCAGGACUCUGAGGAGAGUUUGUAUGUCUUCCUCAGUUUCCCUCCAGUGCCCUUAAGGCUGGAGCCUUAUCUAAGCAUCAUGCUCGAGGAGACCCCUGCAUAGGUGGAGGCAUUAUGAUGUGCCCAGACCAUGACACUUUGUUUCCCUACGGUUUCCAGGCCCUGCUGCAAGUCUAAUCAAUUAUGUCAGUGCCACUGCCGCCUUUCCCAGCUCACAUUCAGGUGCUCUCUGAGUGUCUCUCUUUCUUUUUAUCCUAUCUAGUUCAAUAAACAAUUGUAAAAUCUGGCAAUCAGGAUGAAGCCAAGCAUUCUAAAUCUUAAUUUAUUUUUCUGUUUUUCCAAUAAAAAGGUCGUCUCAAGACACCCAAAGUGGAAAGUAUUUUGAAUUACUUUCUUUGACUGACUGUCUUGAAUUCCUCAGGAUCACUGUUGAUAACAUUCAGAAUGAUUUCUGGGACACAGCACUAGGCUUAAAAUAGUUUGAAAGCUUCUGCGGCAACCACCUGAUAUGAGAAGUGAUUUGUUACCCCUGUUAAGGAAGAAUCAGAUGUCAUGUUAUACAAGGUUAAUGAGCAACAACUGUUUCAUAGCUUGAGCACGGCCCAUACUGCAGAACCUCGUUUCUCCCUGCUCCGGAGAGAGCUGCAGUCUUGUAGGUAAAAUAGAAGUUACUAAAUACAGACAUUAUUUUUUGUAUGUCUUAGGUCCGCCCAAUCCAUCUUUGUCUCCUUUGUCCUUGUGAGGCACCUCCUGCCAUUUGAAGUAAACUGAGUCUCUGUAAAGGGCCAACUUGUUUCCACAUUGUCAAGGAGACCAGAAAAUAGAACCUGGGUAGCAAAACAAAGCUUUUGUGGGAGUGGGUGUUGCUUGAAUGUGGAAAAUCUGAAAACACGUAGAUUUCCUGCUCCUUCCCGGAGCUGACUUCUGCUGGGGUUUGCUACUGGAAGACUGAUGCAUUUCUCUUCUCUUCAGUCUAACAUUAACCAGCCAUUGUGUAAUCACCAAUCAUGAAAUAACUGGUUCUAUGCGAAUAGUUCACAAAGUAUGGUCUGUGGGCCUGAGGCAUCAGAAUCACUUGUAUAAAAAUCUCUGGGUCUGGGUCUUGGGAAUCUACCUUUUUUUUUUGGCAUGCAUUCCAGGUAAUCUCAUACUCCUUGAUGGAUAAGAAUUCGCUAUCCUAAGGGGCAAGUGUACAUUUAUUUGUUAUUAAUUAUAUGCUUCAAAAGAACAGAUAGCAGCAGCAAAUGAUUAAAAAUGUGAUCCUUGCUCGUGGCUCUGUAAAACAGUCUAAGCUGACUUCAGACUUGAAGGCAUUAUCUCACAGUCAUUUUUCAUUUCAUCUUUGGUUGUUUUAGCAGAGUGUGGUGGAGAUGACUAGUUAUUCACCCACAAUUCAUUCUCUCCCUUGCAUGUAACACACAGGUGUUGCUGGGAAGUGGCUGCCCAGUCAUGGACUAUGUGGCUAACUUGAAUCUAGGAAUGGCCUAGUGACUAGUACUCCCAACGGAAUGGAGCUGAAAUCAUGUGGCCAUUUCUUCCCCUUCUGCCUGAGUGAAGAGUAUUCUGAGGCCCAAAUAGGGGAUAAUUGGGUUGCUGAAUCACCAUGUGCCAUGAGUACCUGCUCUAGACUUUUACCUGAGUGAGAAGUAAGCUUUCAGAGUGUUGAGCCCCUGAGAUUUUGAGAUGUUAACAGCUUUUGUUACUCCAGGUAAUUCGUGGAGUUUGGCCUAUUAUUUAGGUAGUUCUAGAUGAGAACUAUGUUCUUUCCCAGCUCAGAUUUCAAAUACAUACGGUUUGUUCAAACAACAUAGUCCUCUGCUGAAAAGUAGGGAAUCAUCUCUUUGGGGAAAGAGCACCAGUCUUAGAAUUAGGAAAGUGGGUCCAAGUCCAAGUUCUGCCACUUACUGGCUGUGUAGUUUUAGACAAAUCACUCAAUUAUUCUGCGCCUCAGCUUCUUCCAUUAUUUAGAGAGAAUAAUAAUACUGUAUUAUUUGCCUCUCAAGGUGUGUGUGAAGGUCAUGCAUUCACUCUUGAAAACACUUUGUAAAUUAUGAAGUGCAUUAUACAAAUGAGAGGGAUGACUUGGUUCUUUUUUUUACAGAGCUAGAAUUAAAUACUAUUUUCUGGCUUCAGUAUUUUCAAUAGCUUCCCGAGUUUCAGCUUUGUCCUUUAGAAAAUAGGGAUAAUAAAGCCUACUUGGGUUAUUGUGAGGAUAAAAUGAGAUACUGUACUUGAUGGUGUCUAGCACGACACCCAACAUAUUACAGGAACUCGGAAAAAUGUUAGCCCCUUUCCCUGCAGCACUGUGUGCUUGGGGGAGGUGAUUCAGGGAGAGUCCAUGUAGACUGAUGAUAAAUACGAACCGAGUUCUCCUUUUGCUUAUGUUUUACUUACCUCUGUAGACUGGAGAGAUCACUUUCUCUGUAUCAUAUGUCCCAUUCUCCCCUGAACUUGAUGGUGGCCCCAUGGCAGCAGGAAACGUGGCCACAGAGGAGCCGUGGGCCUGUUUGUAGUGUUGCCUGCUUCCAUUUCUUCUCCCAAAAAGUUGGGAACUCUAGUCAUGGUGAGUCUGAUGGGGUACCUUCUGAAGUCUCUGGCCAGCCAGAGCCCUGAAAUUCAGACCUCGUGUUCCUGAAUGCUUUCUCACCUGCAGCUCUUCCCCUUGAAACUCGUCUUUUCCCUGUUCCGUCUUCACUUGGCUUAUUCUUUACCGUGGAAUCUUCUUAACUUGGACUAUCCUCAAUCUAAUUCACUUGACUAGAAGUUCAAGACACAGAAAUGUGAUUCUAAAAUAAGUUUUUACAAUGGUAAUGAUAAUUCCUGCAGUUUAUUUCUAUACUGUGCUACCAUUUUCAAACUACUUUCACCUGAGUAAUUUUGUUUGUUCACUAUUGGUUUUCAUGGACUCACAGAAGCCAUUCUUUCCUUUGCUUGUCUUAGGUGCAUUUAUUGGGCGUCAUACCAUGGCAGGCUGCUGGGAGGAUGGGGUAUAGUAGGGUGUAGGGGACAGAGUACUAAUAUUUAUCCAUUAUGUAUUUUUUUGUCAAGUUAGUUUCAAUGAGAGUUAGCUAAUUUAAUUCUCUCAAUAAUUUUUCUGAAGUGUCUCCAGCGCCUCGCCCAAUACUUACGGGUGACCUACUGUAAAAUUCUGUAGAGAGGUUAAACGCUUGUCCAAAGUCAAAAAGCCACUUGGUGCUGGAGAUGGGAUUUAAAUUCUGGUCUCUGACUCCAAAGCCCAUGCUCUUGCCUGGUGUUACUGUCUCUAGCAGGUGGCUCAAGGGAGACAAGUAGCUGCUGCUUAAAUAGUUCCAUGUCCGGUUAUUUGGGGAGCAAAGACAAACAUUUGAGUAGUAAGACAAGGGAGCCCUCCUCUCAUCUUCUCUCCCUUCUUCUUGCAACAUUUAUUAUCUAUAAGGUGGCACCCAGUAUUCCAGGCUCUGGGGUACAGACUUCCCCCAUCCUGCAGCCACCUGUCUAAUGGACAAGACAGAUAAAUUGAUAAACAGCCAGGCAAAUAAGCUAAUGUGUGGCAAUGAUAACUGCCAAGAACAAUAAAGCAGGGCAAGGGAGUAACAGUGACGGAGCUUCUGUGUUAGGUGUGGUGCUUAGGAAGGCGACAUUUGAGUAGGUGACACCUGAGUAGGUGACAUUUGAGCAGAGACUUGAAUGAAGAGAAAGCCUGCAAGGGAGUGGGGUGGGAAGGGGAACAACACAUGCGAAGACUGACUGAAACCAGCUAAGUGUUUUGUAAGAAGGUCAGAGUGUACCUGGGUUGGUGUAAGCCCAGGAGGGUGGUGCGGGUAAAACUGGCAAGUUCAGGAGAGGCCUGUGGGCCUUGGUGAAGAUGUUGGAUUUUGUUCUGAGUGAGGUUGGAAGCCAUUCAAGAAUUUUGAGCAGAGAAGUGAUAGGUUCUGACUUAACAUUUAAAAAUAAUCACUAUGGCUAUUGUGUGUAGUUUAGAUUUUAGGGGGCAAGGAGCCCGGUUUAGAGUCUAUUGCAGGCAACCAUGUAUGAGAAAACCCAAGGUGAAUGGUAUCAAAAACAAAUAUUUCAACACUUCAUUCUUUCACUUUCUUUUAUCUUUGGAUUUUUUAUUUCAGUUCUUUGUAAUUCUCUUUAAAUUUAUUAAAUUUCUACUAUGUUCAAGAUACUGUGAAAAUUGCCAUUUGUGUCUUUAUCCCUUUCUUUGAAACUUUUCUUACAAUCUAGAUUUUUUUUACCUAAACCAAAUUACACAUUGUUCCACUUAUCUUAACAGAGGUAGAAAGAAAUCGAUUGCUUUGGUUUUCCGAUAGCACAAACCUGGCUGCAGAUCUGAAACAGAAUGAACUGGCAUUAGAGUGAUAGCAGGCCAGCCUGCCAACAGCACCCUUUCUCAUGACAGCAAGCUAAUGCUGGAAAUGGUCAGGACAAAGGUCUAAGUUCGUAAUCAACUGCAAACGUGGACUCUUCCCUUCGGAUAGCACUUGUUCUCCUCCAGCUGAAGCUAUACUGGCCUCCCUUCAGCCAUGAAAACAUUCAGAUGUAAAAAAAAAAAAAAAGAUGCGUCUUGAACACUUAACCAUAAAAAGAAAAGGACAAGAAUGGAUGUUUUCUUAGCAACUACAGUGCUGGAUCAUCACAUAUCUCAUCUGAUCUUAACACAAGUACUCUGUGAGUUCCAAGGCACAUAUAAAAUGCCUACAGAUCUCAACAAGAAAAUGGGAUGUUUCUCUGCUAUCAGCUAAAGCUGCUGUGACCAUAAAACGAAAAAAUCACCUAUUGUCUCCUUGCUCAUAAAGAAUGCCCACUAAAAUUGGUCCAGUAUCUUAUCUCUCCAUCCAGACAGUGCUUGUUGCUAAAUACACAGCCUGUUUUUACAGUCUUCACUGAACUCUGGUUUCUGCCAUUUUCAGUGGGGGGAAAAUUUGUAUGAAAAGUUCAUAAGUAAUGUGCAAAUGGGCUAUAUUUUUGCAACUUGCUUUCAUUGUCAUCUGGGAUCCAUCGAGAUUCUUCUGGGGAGACUGAACACCGUUCUGUGCUGCUAGUCUGGAGGAGUGAGGAGAGAAAGCAUGACCCUACCACUUGGAUGAGAGUUUCUGACAUUGCAAGGGCAAAGAUUCUGAACAUCAAAGAUAUCCUUGAUCAUAGAUCUUUGAAAGCAACUCUAAAACUUUCAGAGUGGACAAAAAGAGGCCUUUCCCAUCUCCACUGAGUCCUGAGAAAUAAGAUGUAUAUUUGAGAUGCAGCAAGAAAGACUUUAGAUUCUUAACUUUUGGGAAGGUCACAUACCCCUUUGAUAAUUAGAUAAAAAUUAUGAACAUUUUUCACAGAAAAAAUAUCCAUAAAGACACAUACAUAGAAUUUUGAAAACUUGAGGGUUGAUUUAUAAAAACUUGAAAGUGUUUGUUCCCUGAAUACUUCUCUGGAUUGUUUAGGGGUCCUGGACCCCAGGUUAAGAAUCCCUGGAACUCUGAGGACAAUUAUGGAAAUCUACCUUGACAUCUCUGUCAAGCUGUGUUCCCCAGCUACACUUACCUAUCUUAUAUGCAGGGAGAUGUUAAGAGUAAUAACCUGUGUUAUGUGCCUUUUGUGUCAAUCUGCCAAUUCAGGAGCUCCAUCUUCUGCAAAAUCCUUUUCCCUCCCCCCACGUAAUUAUGUCUGAAAGUCCCCGAGACAUUUCUGUUGUGUUCAUGAACAAGCCCAGACAGUGGUCACAUGACGUCCUCUGGGUCCUGAUGCCUUUGCUGGACACUGAUACCCUCUCUGUUGGAUGUCUCUUGCUCCUCUGAGCACUGCCACCUCUGUUAGGCACCAGUGCUCAGCCUGCACAUCAUUGCCACUUUUGCUGGGGUCCAUGGUUUUCUCCUUCUGUUGAAGCAUUGGAGCCCUAGAGGGGCCAGGCAUGCUCUCUAUUCUCCAGAAUUUCACUGAUUUCAGGUACUCUGCUGUCAGGGAGAAUGCUUUUCUCUCUUUUGUGUUACUGUUAUUACCAUUAGAUGGUUUCUAGUGAGUUCUGAUUUGAUGGUCUUUAGCAAGAUAAUCUUUAACCUUUCUUUUCAAUUCCUCCCUCCUUGGGGUGAAGGGCAAACCCAAGUGACCCCAGAUUGUACUCAGAAUCCUCAGUCCUCUCCCAUGAUUGAAGUUUGUCUCUGGUCCAGUGUCGUUUUUCUGACUCACUCUCCCUUUGGGAGCUCCUCAUGCAAAUGCCAUUCCAGGGGCCUGCCUCCUCCCCUCCAUUGAGGAUGCUCAGAACUGGGGCUCAGCAAGAAAUGGACCCAGCAUAGAUUUAAACGAGGAAAUUCAAGAACAUCAAUAUUUAAGAAUAACGUAGACAAUAGUGUGACCUUUGGGGCUUAGACAUAAUAUUUUAGGGGCUAUUUUGAAGAGGUCUUCCGGAUCUCAGUGGUGUCCCUCCAAAGAUGAGCUCUUUAUAAUUCUACUCUGUCCUAUAUCCAAGCCAGUGCAGUACUGUGAAAAACGGCAUUAACAAAAUUCUAGGCUCUUACUGGAAACAAGCUCCUUCUUUCUUGUAAAUAAGUCUAUACAACACCUGUAAUAAGUUAGAGUCAGAAUGAUCUUUCUGUCAUGAUUCCAUUUUUUUAUACAACUCAUGUACCUCAAACUCCGCAGGAGUCAAUAAAAUAUGAUUCUGAAAUAAUACUGAAUUUUAAAGCUUAGUAUGCAGUGUGUGGAAAAAAUGCCUCACCAUUUUUCUUGCUGUCAUUUGAAGGUAUAGGUGUAGAUUCAUCACAAUAUUGGAAACACAUUUUGAAAAUGCCAAUAUCUCCAUCAGUUAUAGAUUUGUCAUAAUUAAUGCUGACAGCUCCUGCUGUACUAUUGUAUUCUUCACUCACACCAUUACUCCUCUCUCUGACACGCCGGACUGUGUUCACCUGCCUCAGUGUGGCUCUCUCUCCAGUGUUCUAUAUGCUUUCCCCUUCAACUUCCUACUGAGUGCCCUGGCCAUCCUCAGGCCAAACAGGGAAUUUCCAAACCAGUCUUCAUCC
This 19722-nucleotide long non-coding RNA is filed under the name Equus caballus (horse). RNAcentral describes it as "lncRNA (ENSECAG00000047129.1)". Lineage: Eukaryota; Metazoa; Chordata; Mammalia; Perissodactyla; Equidae. The record is from RNAcentral.